This 406-nucleotide ribosomal RNA is filed under the name uncultured bacterium. RNAcentral describes it as "partial 16S ribosomal RNA". It matches the Rfam family "Bacterial small subunit ribosomal RNA", at positions 30 to 526 of the family's 1533-position model. The record is from RNAcentral.
AUUGAACGCUGGCGGCAGGCUUAACACAUGCAAGUCGAGCGAGCGGCGGACGGGUGAGUAAUGUCUGGGAAACUGCCUGAUGGAGGGGGAUAACUACUGGAAACGGUAGCUAAUACCGCAUACCAUCAGAUGUGCCCAGAUGGGAUUAGCUAGUAGGUGUGGUAAGGGCUCACCUAGGCGACGAUUCCUACCUGGGCUGCGAGGAUGACCAGCCACACUGGAACUGUGACACGUUCCAGACGCCUACGUGAGCCAGCAGUGGGGAAUAUUGCGCAUUGGGCGCAAGCCUGAUGCAGCCAGGCCGCGUGUGUGAAGAAGGCCUUCGGGUUGUAAAGCACGUUCAGCGCGGAGGCGUUACUGGCAGAAGAAGCACCGGCUAACUCCGUGCCAGCCGCCGCGGUAAUUC